RNAcentral lists this ribosomal RNA (405 nucleotides) under uncultured bacterium. RNAcentral's name for it is "bacterial SSU rRNA". It matches the Rfam family "Bacterial small subunit ribosomal RNA", at positions 355 to 776 of the family's 1533-position model. The record is from RNAcentral.
CAAGGAAUCUUCCGCAAUGGGCGAAAGCCUGACGGAGCGACACAGCGUGCAGGAAUGAAGGCCUUCGGGUUGUAAACUGCUUUUAUCUCUGAAGAUUAUGACGGUAAGAGAUGAAUAAGGACCGGCAAACUACGUGCCAGCAGCCGCGGUAAUACGUAGGGUCCAAGCGUUACUCGGAUUUACUGGGCGUAAAGCGUGUGUAGGCGGUCUGUUAAGCGGGGUGUGAAAUCUUGAGGCUCAACUUCAAGACUGUGCCCCGAACUGGCAGACUCGAGUACUGAAGAGGUUAGCGGAAUUAGUAGUGUAGGGGUGAAAUCCGUAGAUAUUACUAAGAACACCAAUGGCGAAGGCAGCUAACUGGGCAGUCACUGACGCUAAGACACGAAAGCGUGGGGAGCGAACGGG